Molecule: ribosomal RNA, 495 nt
Filed under: uncultured bacterium
Lineage: Bacteria
Description: partial 16S ribosomal RNA
Rfam family: Bacterial small subunit ribosomal RNA
Source: RNAcentral
GACGAACGCUGGCGGCGUGCCUAAUACAUGCAAGUAGAACGCUGAAGGAGGAGCUUGCUUCUCUGGAUGAGUUGCGAACGGGUGAGUAACGCGUAGGUAACCUGCCUUGUAGCGGGGGAUAACUAUUGGAAACGAUAGCUAAUACCGCAUAAGAGUAGAUGUUGCAUGACAUUUUCUUAAAAGGUGCAAUUGCAUCACUACCAGAUGGACCUGCGUUGUAUUAGCUAGUUGGUGGGGUAACGGCUUACCAAGGCGACGAUACAUAGCCGACCUGAGAGGGUGAUCGGCCAAACUGGGACUGAGACACGGCCCAGACUCAUACGGGAGGCAGCAGUAGGGAAUCUUCGGAAAUGGACGGAAGUCUGACCGAGCAACGCCGCGUGAGUGAAGAAGGUUUUCGGAUCGUAAAGCUCUGUUGUAAGAGAAGAACGAGUGUGAGAGUGGAAAGUUCACACUGUGACGGUAGCUUACCAGAAAGGGACGGCUAACUACGUG